GGUGUCUGGGGAGACAUUCUCAGGGACCUCUCAAAGAUGGGGGUCCUCUACAAGGCUGUCUACUUCCCUAAAGCUUUGUUCCCCUGAGUGUGUGUGUGUGUGUUGGAGGUGCUGUAUGAGGGUGCUAUACAUUUAUGCAUAUGUCUGUGUGCUCCCAGAGGCCAGAGGGAAGUACUCUCUUCCACUCUAUGCCAGGUCCAGCGGUGCUGGUGACCAGCUGUUAACAGAACUAUGGGCGGACAGGCGGACAGGAGUCAUUGCCAACGAAGGAGGGCGAUGAUUCCUGGUCACUCUGGAAAUGACUCUGGAGCAUACAACCCAAGGACAGCAGCAGCCAACAAAAUCACCACGUGGAAGUCAGGCUUCAAGCUACUAUCACUAUCUAAAUUUAAAGCAACUUCGAUUUGUAACAACAACAACAACAACAUUCUCUAAUAAACAAUAAAAUGACCAGGA
Mastomys coucha (southern multimammate mouse) is the source of this 456-nucleotide long non-coding RNA. RefSeq lists it as uncharacterized. The transcript has 2 exons. The record is from RefSeq and is a predicted model, not a curated record. Lineage: Eukaryota; Metazoa; Chordata; Mammalia; Rodentia; Muridae.